RNAcentral lists this long non-coding RNA (381 nucleotides) under Carica papaya (papaya). Its description in RNAcentral is "long non-coding RNA (CPAP_LNC013160)". The record is from RNAcentral. Lineage: Eukaryota; Viridiplantae; Streptophyta; Magnoliopsida; Brassicales; Caricaceae.
UUUGUAACAACAAAAAUAUAGUGGAAAUAAAAUAAAUAUUUUUCUCAAAUAUUUUAGUUUUUUAUUUUUAGGGUUUCUUUCAAACCCUAAAACCUUCUCACCAGCCACCCAAACAGAGGGAUAGUCUCACCAGGCGGCCAAUCGCCCUACUCCGGCGACUAUCUCCGACCUACCCGACCAGCCUGCUCUGCCCGACUGCAGCAAUUCAAGCGGCAUUUCACACGCAGCUCUCUGGUUUGCGUUUCCGACUCAUCCAGUCCACGUACUCGACUCAUCUGAUCCUUUGUUCACAAUCCUCUGCUUGCUCUGCCCGACUACAGUAGUUCACACGGCCUCUCGUGCGCAACCCUCUGGUUCACGUUCCGAUCCGUCCACUUGCAG